RNAcentral lists this ribosomal RNA (1620 nucleotides) under Gregarina tropica. Its description in RNAcentral is "SSU rRNA". It matches the Rfam family "Eukaryotic small subunit ribosomal RNA". The record is from RNAcentral. Lineage: Eukaryota; Apicomplexa; Conoidasida; Eugregarinorida; Gregarinidae.
AGUCUAAGUAUAAGCUACUUUAUACGGCGAAACUGCGAAUAGCUCAUUACAACAGUUAUAAUUCACACGACGAUCAUUACCAGAUGGAUAUCCAUGGUAAUUCUGGAGCUAAUACAUGCUAUAACACCCGACUCAUUGGAAGGGUGGCAUUCAUUAGUUCAUACAGACCCAACCAGAAUCCUCGUGAUUUUGAGCUUUGGUGAUCAUAGUGACGGAGCGGAUCGCAUUUUCUAUGCGACAGUUCGUUCAAGUUUCUGACCUAUCAGCUCCCGUCGGUAGGGUAUUGGCCUACCGAGGCUGUGACGGGUAACGGGGAAUUAGGGUUCGAUUCCGGAGAGGGAGCCUGAGAAACGGCUACCACAUCUAAGGAUGGCAGCAGGCGCGCAAAUUACCCAAUCCCGACACGGGGAGGUAGUGACCAGAAAUAGCAACGCAGGGCAUAUGCUCUGUGAUUGCAAUGAGCGGAAAGCAAAACUGUUUGCGAGUACCUAUUGGAGGGCAAGUCUGGUGCCAGCAGCCGCGGUAAUUCCAGCUCCNAUAGCGUAUAUNAAAGUUGCUGCAGUUAAAGCGUCCGUAGUUGGAUUUCGUUCAAUCAGAUGGGAUUAGCUCUUUGGAUGCGCAAGCGUUCAUUGUUGCUCUCAUUCUAUUGAACUUGGGUGGUUUUCGAGCUUCGGCUCCCAAUCUACCUCGUUACUUUGAGCAAAUUGGAGUGCUCCAACCAAGCUACAGCUUGAACAGCUCAGCAUGGAAUAACAAGAUAGGACUUCGGAUCUUCUUGUUGGUGUCUUCAGAACCGAAAGUAAUGGUUGAUAAGGACAUACGGGGGCAUUUGUACUUGCUGGAGAGAGGUGAAAUUCUAAGACCCAGCAAAGACAAACAAGUGCGAAGGCAUUUGCCCAGUAUGUACCUGUUAAUCAAGGACGAAAGUUGGGGGAUCGAAGAUGAUUAGAUACCGUCGUAGUCCCAACUAUAAACUAUGCCGACUGAGGAUCGGUGGCCGUACUUCUACGACUCCUUCGGCACUCCAAGAGAAAUCUAAGUCUUUGGGCCCUGGGGGGAGUAUGGUCGCAAGGCUGAAACUUAAAGGAAUUGACGGAAGGGCACCACCAGGAGUGGAGCCUGCGGCUUAAUUUGACUCAACGCGGGGAACCUCACCAGGCCCGGACAUAGUCAUGAUUGACAGAUUGAGAGUUCUUUCUCGAUUCUAUGGGGUGGUGGUGCAUGGCCGUUCUUAGUCGGUGAGGUGACUUGUCUGGUUAAUUCCGAUAACGGACGAGACCUCGACCUGCUAACUAGCUAUCUUUUACUAUAUGUGAGGGAUUGGCUUCUUAGAGGGACUUUGGGAGUUUAUCCCAAGGAAGUUCGAGCCUAUAACAGGUCUGUGAUGCCCUUAGAUGGCCUGGGCUGCACGUGCGCUACAAUGACAAAGUCAGCGAGUAUUACCCUUCUCCGUUCGGAGUGGGCAAUCUUUUGAAACUUUGUCGUGAUAGGGAUUGACCCUUGCAAUUAUGGGUCAUGAACGAGGAAUUCCUAGUAAGGACAAGUCAUCACCUUGUGCUGAUUACGUCCCUGCCCUUUGUACACACCGCCCGUCGCUUCAACCGAUUGGAUGAUCCGGCA